Triticum aestivum (bread wheat) is the source of this 135-nucleotide non-coding RNA. The record is from Rfam. NCBI's taxonomy places the organism in Eukaryota, Viridiplantae, Streptophyta, Magnoliopsida, Poales, Poaceae.
CAAAUACUCCCUCCGUCCGGAAAUACUUGUCAUCAAAAUGGAUAAAAGGAAAUGUAUCUAGACGUAUUUUAGUUGUAGAUACAUCUCUUUUUAUCCAUUUUGAUGACAAGUAUUUUCGGACGGAGGGAGUAGAAA